This is a regulatory RNA element of Enterococcus pallens ATCC BAA-351, 48 nucleotides long. It matches the Rfam family "uup RNA". The record is from Rfam. NCBI's taxonomy places the organism in Bacteria, Bacillati, Bacillota, Bacilli, Lactobacillales, Enterococcaceae.
AGAAAAUCAGCUCUUAACAAAUGGAUACGAUGAAGCAUUGUUAGGGGC